AAACUGUGGUGUGGGCAAUAUCUCAACAAGUCCUUGUACCUCUCUCACGCAUCAUACAUGCUCUCAUCAUCAAAUUGCACACACAAAAUUAUUGUUACGCAU
This is a non-coding RNA of Ricinus communis (castor bean), 102 nucleotides long. The record is from Rfam. Lineage: Eukaryota; Viridiplantae; Streptophyta; Magnoliopsida; Malpighiales; Euphorbiaceae.